Molecule: ribosomal RNA, 374 nt
Filed under: uncultured organism
Description: partial 16S ribosomal RNA
Rfam family: Bacterial small subunit ribosomal RNA
Source: RNAcentral
GUAGGUGGCAAGCGUUGUCCGGAAUUAUUGGGCGUAAAGCGCGCGCAGGCGGGUUCUUUAAGUCUGAUGUGAAAGCCCACGGGCUCAACCGUGGAGGGUCAUUGGAAACUGGAGAACUUGAGUACAGAAGAGGAAAGCGGAAUUCCACGUGUAGCGGUGAAAUGCGUAGAGAUGUGGAGGAACACCAGUGGCGAAGGCGGCUUUCUGGUCUGUAACCGACGCUGAGGCGCGAAAGCGUGGGGAGCAAACAGGAUUAGAUACCCUGGUAGUCCACGCCGUAAACGAUGAGUGCUAAGUGUUAGGGGGUUUCCGCCCCUUAGUGCUGCAGCUAACGCAUUAAGCACUCCGCCUGGGGAGUACGGCCGCAAAGGCUG